UACGUAGGGCGCAAGCGUUAUCCGGAAUUACUGGGCGUAAAGCGUGCGUAGGUGGUUUGUUAAGUCUGAUGUGAAAGCCCCUGGGCUCAACCUGGGAAUUGCAUUGGAUACUGGCAGGCUAGAGUGCGGUAGAGGAUGGCGGAAUUCCCGGUGUAGCAGUGAAAUGCGUAGAGAUCGGGAGGAACAUCUGUGGCGAAGGCGGCCAUCUGGACCAGCACUGACACUGAGGCACGAAAGCGUGGGGAGCAAACAGG
This 254-nucleotide ribosomal RNA is filed under the name uncultured bacterium. Its description in RNAcentral is "partial 16S ribosomal RNA". It matches the Rfam family "Bacterial small subunit ribosomal RNA", at positions 524 to 776 of the family's 1533-position model. The record is from RNAcentral.